UACGUAGGGGGCAAGCGUUAUCCGGAAUUACUGGGUGUAAAGGGUGAGUAGGCGGCCAUAUAAGCCACAUGUGAAAUUCAGGGGCUUAACCCCUGAACUGCAUGAGGAACUGUAAGGCUAGAGUACAGGAGAGGUAAGCGGAAUUCCUAGUGUAGCGGUGAAAUGCGUAGAUAUUAGGAAGAACACCAGUGGCGAAGGCGGCUUACUGGACUGAAACUGACGCUGAGUCACGAAAGCGUGGGGAGCGAACAGG
This 253-nucleotide ribosomal RNA is filed under the name uncultured bacterium. RNAcentral describes it as "partial 16S ribosomal RNA". It matches the Rfam family "Bacterial small subunit ribosomal RNA", at positions 524 to 776 of the family's 1533-position model. The record is from RNAcentral.